This 379-nucleotide ribosomal RNA is filed under the name uncultured bacterium. RNAcentral's name for it is "bacterial SSU rRNA". It matches the Rfam family "Bacterial small subunit ribosomal RNA", at positions 521 to 896 of the family's 1533-position model. The record is from RNAcentral.
UAAAACGUAGGACACAAGCGUUAUCCGGAAUUACUGGGCGUAAAGCGCCAGCAGGCGGUCGUGUAAGUCAUUGAUGAAAACGCUCGGCUCAACCGAGCGCUGUUCAGUGAUACUGCAUAACUAGAGGGAGAUAGAGGCGAGUGGAAUUCCGCGUGUAGUGGUGAAAUGCGUAGAGAUGCGGAGGAACACCAGUGGCGAAGGCGGCUCGCUGGGUCUCACCUGACGCUGAGAGGCGAAAGCAUGGGGAGCGAACGGGAUUAGAAACCCCGGUAGUCCAUGCCGUAAACGAUGUGUGCUAGAUGUGGGGACUGGGAAACCAGUUUCUGUGUCGCAGCUAACGCGAUAAGCACACCGCCUGGGGAGUACGGUCGCAAGGCUA